UUACUUGGCUUGGACCUUGGGGAUCUCGGACACCACUUCGGCUGGGGGGCAACGUCUAAGAACAUGCCGUCCACUAGGCAGUAUGGUUUUUUGGUUCUUCCUCUUCGGACUCUGGGACGGGAGCCUCCAUUAUGGC
This is a long non-coding RNA of Bufo bufo (common toad), 136 nucleotides long. RefSeq lists it as uncharacterized. The record is from RefSeq and is a predicted model, not a curated record. The transcript has 4 exons. NCBI's taxonomy places the organism in Eukaryota, Metazoa, Chordata, Amphibia, Anura, Bufonidae.